UACUCCUACGGGAGGCAGCAGUGGGGAAUAUUGCACAAUGGGCGCAAGCCUGAUGCAGCCAUGCCGCGUGUGUGAAGAAGGCCUUCGGGUUGUAAAGCACUUUCAGCGAGGAGGAAGGUGGUGAGCYUAAUACGCUCAUCAAUUGACGUUACUCGCAGAAGAAGCACCGGCUAACUCCGUGCCAGCAGCCGCGGUAAUACA
Molecule: ribosomal RNA, 201 nt
Filed under: uncultured Serratia sp.
Lineage: Bacteria; Pseudomonadati; Pseudomonadota; Gammaproteobacteria; Enterobacterales; Yersiniaceae
Description: partial 16S ribosomal RNA
Rfam family: Bacterial small subunit ribosomal RNA
Source: RNAcentral